This 870-nucleotide ribosomal RNA is filed under the name uncultured archaeon. Its description in RNAcentral is "bacterial SSU rRNA". It matches the Rfam family "Archaeal small subunit ribosomal RNA", at positions 1 to 878 of the family's 1478-position model. The record is from RNAcentral.
CUUCCGGUUGAUCCCGCCCGACCUGACUGCUAUCGGAUUGGUACUAAGCCAUGCGAGUCAUUGUAGCAAUACAAGGCGGACGGCUCAGUAACACGUAGUCAACCUAACUCGUGGACGUGGAUAACCUCGGGAAACUGAGAAUAAACCACGAUAGAUCAUAGUGCCUGGAAUGGCUUAUGGUCCAAACAGUUUACUGCCAUGGGAUGGGACUGCGGCCUAUCAGCUUGUUGGUGAGGUAAUGGCCCACCAAGGCGAUUACAGGUACGGGCUCUGAGAGGAGAAGCCCGGAGAUGGGUACUGAGACACGGACCCAGGCCCUAUGGGGCGCAGCAGGCGAGAAACCUUAGCAAUGUGCGAAAGCACGACUGGGUCAGUCCGAGUGAUUCCUGAUAAAGGAGUCUUUUGCUUGUCCUAAAAGCACAGGUGAAUAAGGGGUGGGCAAGUCUGGUGUCAGCCGCCGCGGUAAUACCAGCACCUCGAGUGGUCAGGACGUUUAUUGGGCCUAAAGCAUCCGUAGCCGGCUUUGCAAGUCUUCGGUUAAAUCCACCUGCUCAACAGAUGGGCUGCUGGAGAUACUACAAAGCUAGGGAGUGGGAGAGGCAGACGGUAUUCAGUGGGUAGGGGUAAAAUCCACUGAUCCAUAGAGGACCACCAGUGGCGAAGGCGGUCUGCCAGAACACGUUCGACGGUGAGGGAUGAAAGCUGGGGGAGCAAACCGGAUUAGAUACCCGGGUAGUCCCAGCUGUAAACGAUGCAAACUCGGUGAUGCAUUGGCUUAUGGCCAAUGCAGUGCCGCAGGGAAGCCGUUAAGUUUGCCGCCUGGGAAGUACGGACGCAAGUCUGAAACUUAAAGGAAUUGGCGGGGGAGCA